RNAcentral lists this transfer RNA (79 nucleotides) under Pteropus alecto (black flying fox). It matches the Rfam family "tRNA". Rfam says of the family: Transfer RNA (tRNA) molecules are approximately 80 nucleotides in length. Their secondary structure includes four short double-helical elements and three loops (D, anti-codon, and T loops). The record is from Rfam by way of RNAcentral. RNAcentral also lists the same sequence under 1 other name. Lineage: Eukaryota; Metazoa; Chordata; Mammalia; Chiroptera; Pteropodidae.
GGCUCCAUGUUGUAGUGGUUAGCAUGUCUGCUUUACACACAGAAGGUUCCUGCCUGGGUUCGCGCCCCAGGUGUAGCCA